This 460-nucleotide ribosomal RNA is filed under the name uncultured bacterium. RNAcentral's name for it is "partial 16S ribosomal RNA". It matches the Rfam family "Bacterial small subunit ribosomal RNA", at positions 338 to 795 of the family's 1533-position model. The record is from RNAcentral.
CCUACGGGAGGCAGCAGUGAGGAAUAUUGGUCAAUGGGCGAGAGCCUGAACCAGCCAAGUCGCGUGAGGGAAGACGGCCCUACGGAUUGUAAACCUCUUUUGUCAGGGAGCAAGGAGCGCCACGAGUGGUGCGGCGAGAGUACCUGAAGAAAAAGCAUCGGCUAACUCCGCGCCAGCAGACGCGGGAAUACGGAGGAUGCGAGCGGUAUUCGGAUUUAUUGGGUUUAAAGGGGGCGCAGGCGGAAGCGGCAAGUCAGCGGUAAAUUUGCGGGGCUAAACCUCGCCGAGCCGUUGAAACUGCUCUUCUAGAGUAGGCGAGAGGUAUGCGGAAUGCGUGGUGUAGCGGUGAAAUGCAUAGAUAUCACGCAGAACUCCGAUAGCGAAGGCAGCAUACCGGCGCCCAACUGACGCUCAUGCACGAAAGCGUGGGUAUCGAACAGGAUUAGAUACCCUUGUAGUC